GUUUGACCUCGGAUCAGGUAGGGAUACCCGCUGAACUUAAGCA
Molecule: ribosomal RNA, 43 nt
Filed under: Pyrenochaeta sp.
Lineage: Eukaryota; Fungi; Ascomycota; Dothideomycetes; Pleosporales; Cucurbitariaceae
Also listed under: 3 other names
Description: partial 28S ribosomal RNA
Source: RNAcentral